AGUAUACUUUAUUAGAAGUGUGUUAGAUAGAAUUAUACACUUUAAAGAAAAUAUCUUUUAUUAUUGCAGGAUUUAUGAAAUGAUUACAUAAAUAUACUAACAACAAAUUGCAAUGCAUCUGUAUAUUAGAGACAAAGAUGAAAGAGAGUAACAAGAAUAUAUGUAUUCAAAAGAAAGAUAUCAAGACCAUUUGUAGUAAUUAAAAUUAAAGAAUAAAAUACAUAAAAUGUACCAUAUGAUCGAAAAAAAAACGGCGUCCAGUUGGCUGGGAAAUGACGAUCAAUAUACAUUUCCUAUAUAAAUUUACAUAUAAAAUGACAGCGACCUUCAUUUCAUAGCCAUCGUUGACGCCGUUUUUUCUCGAUCAUACGGUAGUUUAUGUGUGAACAAAUUCUCAUUUCAUAUAAAAAUUGGAGCUCUAUCUAGAGUAUAUUUGAAUAUAAAUGUUUUUAUGUAUUGGAAGGGGGACUGUAUUUUUCAAAUAUAAUAAAGAAAAUAGACUAAAAAA
Molecule: long non-coding RNA, 508 nt
Organism: Sitophilus oryzae (rice weevil)
Lineage: Eukaryota; Metazoa; Arthropoda; Insecta; Coleoptera; Curculionidae
Exons: 2
Source: RefSeq, a predicted model, not a curated record